AUUGAACGCUGGCGGCAUGCCUUACACAUGCAAGUCGAACGGCAGCACGGGUGCUUGCACCUGGUGGCGAGUGGCGAACGGGUGAGUAAUACAUCGGAACAUGUCCUGUAGUGGGGGAUAGCCCGGCGAAAGCCGGAUUAAUACCGCAUACGAUCUACGGAUGAAAGCGGGGGCCCUUCGGGCCUCGCGCUAUAGGGUUGGCCGAUGGCUGAUUAGCUAGUUGGUGGGGUAAAGGCCUACCAAGGCGACGAUCAGUAGCUGGUCUGAGAGGACGACCAGCCACACUGGGACUGAGACACGGCCCAGACUCCUACGGGAGGCAGCAGUGGGGAAUUUUGGACAAAGGGCGAAAGCCUGAUCCAGCAAUGCCGCGUGUGUGAAGAAGGCCUUCGGGUUGUAAAGCACUUUUGUCCGGAAAGAAAUCCUUGGCCCUAAUACGGUCGGGGGAUGACGGUACCGGAAGAAUAAGCACCGGCUAACUACGUG
Molecule: ribosomal RNA, 486 nt
Filed under: uncultured bacterium
Lineage: Bacteria
Description: partial 16S ribosomal RNA
Rfam family: Bacterial small subunit ribosomal RNA
Source: RNAcentral